AUUGAACGCUGGCGGCAUGCUUUACACAUGCAAGUCGAACGGUAACAGGCCUUCGGGUGCUGACGAGUGGCGAACGGGUGAGUAAUGCAUCGGAACGUACCCAGAGGUGGGGGAUAACGCAGCGAAAGCUGUGCUAAUACCGCAUGUGAUCUGAGGAUGAAAGCGGGGGACCGAGCAGCAAUGUUUGGCCUCGCGCCUUUGGAGCGGCCGAUGUCGGAUUAGCUAGUUGGUGGGGUAAAGGCCUACCAAGGCGACGAUCCGUAGCUGGUCUGAGAGGACGACCAGCCACACUGGGACUGAGACAUGGCCCAGACUCCUACGGGAGGCAGCAGUGGGGAAUUUUGGACAAUGGGCGCAAGCCUGAUCCAGCAAUGCCGCGUGCGGGAAGAAGGCCUUCGGGUUGUAAACCGCUUUUGGCAGGAACGAAACGGUGUCCGCUAAUACCGGGCGCUAAUGACGGUACCUGCAGAAUAAGCACCGGCUAACUACGUG
This 492-nucleotide ribosomal RNA is filed under the name uncultured bacterium. RNAcentral describes it as "partial 16S ribosomal RNA". It matches the Rfam family "Bacterial small subunit ribosomal RNA", at positions 30 to 507 of the family's 1533-position model. The record is from RNAcentral.